UUCUACGGGGGGCAGCAGUGGGGAAUAUUGCACAAUGGGCGAAAGCUGAUGCAGCGACGCCGCGUGAGGGAUGACGGCCUUCGGGUUGUAAACCUCUUUCAGCAGGGAAGAAGCGCAAGUGACGGUACCUGCAGAAGAAGCACCGGCUAACUACGUGCCAGCAGCCGCGGUAAUA
Molecule: ribosomal RNA, 175 nt
Filed under: uncultured Rhodococcus sp.
Lineage: Bacteria; Bacillati; Actinomycetota; Actinomycetes; Mycobacteriales; Nocardiaceae
Description: partial 16S ribosomal RNA
Rfam family: Bacterial small subunit ribosomal RNA
Source: RNAcentral